GUACACGCUGUGACUAGCAUAUCAAUAAGCGGAGGAAAAGAAACUAACAAGGAUUCCCCUAGUAACGGCGAGUGAAGCGGGAAGAGCUCAAAUUUGAAAUCUUAAAGGGUUUCCCUUUACGAAUUGUAGUUUAAAGAAGUGUUUUCUGUUGAGGUUUUGGUAAAAGUUCUUUGGAAUAGGACAUCAUAGAGGGUGAGAAUCCCGUAUUUGACCUUUACUUUCAACUUUGUGAUACACUUUCAAAGAGUCGGAUUGUUUGGGAAUGCAGUCCAAAAUGGGUGGUAAAUUUCAUCUAAAGCUAAAUAUUGGCGAGAGACCGAUAGCGAACAAGUACCGUGAGGGAAAGAUGAAAAGAACUUUGAAAAGAGAGUUAAACAGUACGUGAAAUUGUCAAAAGGGAAGCGUUUGACACCAGUGUUGUUUUUCUGAAAAUCAAUUAAAGAACUGUUUAUGCUAAGCUGUUUAGACUUUAUCAGCUAUCUGUUUAGUUUUGAGCUUUUCUUUAAUGCACUUUUCAGUUAACAAGUCAACAUCAAUUUCUUUUGCUGUAAAAAAGCUUGAGGAAGGUUGCUUGAGAUUCGUCUUAAGUGUUUAUAGCCUCUUGCCUAUGCAGUCGGAGAGAUUGAGGUCUGCAGCGUAGAUCCUUCGGGGCUAAAUGCAUUUGUGCUAAGUUAUAGCAUUUUAUAGACAACUUGUUGACUAUGAUUUGUCUUGUAGCUUACUCGCUUAUGUUAUUUUACCUACGCUUAGGAUGUUGAGUCGUAGAGCACGCAG
RNAcentral lists this ribosomal RNA (774 nucleotides) under uncultured Neocallimastigales. RNAcentral describes it as "partial large subunit ribosomal RNA". It matches the Rfam family "Eukaryotic large subunit ribosomal RNA", at positions 22 to 628 of the family's 3401-position model. The record is from RNAcentral. Lineage: Eukaryota; Fungi; Neocallimastigomycota; Neocallimastigomycetes; Neocallimastigales.